RNAcentral lists this long non-coding RNA (2624 nucleotides) under Mus musculus (house mouse). RNAcentral's name for it is "predicted gene, 53067 (Gm53067)". Lineage: Eukaryota; Metazoa; Chordata; Mammalia; Rodentia; Muridae. The record is from RNAcentral.
GUGGCUGUGUAUUAUGCUGGAACUGGAGUUAAGGACAAUUGUGAGCCACCAUGUGGGUGUACAGGGGAUCGAACCUGUGUCCUCUACAAGAGCAAGUGUUCUUGACAACUGAGCUAUUCCUCCAGCCCCUAUUUACUUAAUUUUUUACCGUGCUUAGUUCCUGCUUUGUUGUUAGAGCUAGUAACAGCUAUUCCCCAAGCCUCUCAGCUACAGACUUUGCUUGAGCUGAAAAAAAAAGAAAAGAAAAGGAAAGAAGAGAAGAGAAGAGAAGAGAAGAGAAGAGAAGAGAAGAGAAGAGAAGAGAAGAGAAAAGAAAAGAAAAGAAAAGAAAAGAAAAGAAAAGAAAAGAAAAGAAAAAGUAAGUUGGGUAUGGCGGCAGAUGCUUACACGAUGCCGGCACUUGGACUAGAGAUGCUGUGUCAACAAACAGAUAAGUACCCCAGGUCUGAUGACUCAGAUCUAUAAUUUCAGCUACUCAGUAGUCUGAGGCAAGAGGAUAAAGAUAAUUUGCUGCCUUGGGUGACUGAGUAAGACCUUGUUUCAAAACCCUGUGGAGGCCAGGGUUGACCAAGUGCUUGCCAUGCAACCAAGAAGACCUGAGUUUGACUUUACCCUGGCACCCAAGUACAGAGCCACCAUGGUGAGCUGUGCUGGUAAUAUUCGAUGCUGGGGAAGCAGCGACAGGAGGAGCCCUGGUACUCACAGGCCAGCCAGAGCAGCCGGAUCAGUGAGCUGGUCCCAAGGAGAGACCUUGUCUUAACAACCAAGACGGUGAUCUUCUGAAUAACACCAGCCAACGCUGACCUCUUGCUUGACCGGCGUUGAACACAUGUGCGUCCACACUUGCACAUAUAUACACGAAAACAUACAAGCACACACACAGAAACACCAAACGAACAGGUCUGGAAUUAUAGAGCAAAGCAGCAAAGCCCUCGCCUAGCCUGCUAGCUCAGCCUGGGUUCAAUCCCUAGAAACUCAGAAAUGAAUGAAGUGACUAUUAAGCACACCGUAGAGCCACCCUAAACAAUUUGCCAUUGGUUCUGGAGAGAUGGCUCAGGGGUUAAGAGCACUGGCUGCUCUUGCAGAGCACCUGGGUUCUAUUUCCAGCAACCACACAGUGGCGCACAACCAUGUUAACUGUAGUUGCAGGAGAUCCAACGCCCUCUUCUGGCUCUACAAGAACUGUCACAUGUGAUAGAAACAUAGAAACACAUGCAGGCAAAACACACACACAUAAAAUAAAAAUGAGAGAUGGAGGGAGGGAAAGAGAGAGAGAGACAAGGGGGGAGGAAAUACACUCUUUAAAGUGGGUGGAGCUGCAGAAAGUCCACUCCUCUUACACACACACACACACACACACACACACACACACACACACACACACACAUACACACCCCUCCGCCCCCAAAGCUGUAUUAAGUCCUUUUCAAUGGAGAACCUGGGAAAGAAUAUAACAACUCCUUUAAAAGCUGGCCCGCCCUGCAGUCGAAGCCAAGCUGUAAAACUGUUUGGGAAGUAGAAAGGUUAGUAAAGAGCGCGAUCCUAUGACCAGUCAGGCCGAUCCGCUGGGAGGGUGUUUGGAAUGGUCUCAGUGCUAGCUGCUGAGGAAACCAGCGUUUGGAAACAAUAACAUCAUGGGACUUUUUAUAUGGCCCGCUGGCAUUGUGAUGCAAUUUGAGCGUUUUAGCAUUUUCCCAACUUUCUGUUCUCACCACAGGAAAAGUGGGGACUGGAGGAGUCGGGUGCCUCAUCACCAGUACUUCUCUCAGACAAAUUAUAAACAGAGAGUUAAAGAACUCCUCUGCUACAGCCAGGAAACAAAGCAGCCUUCAAACGCCUCACAUGUCAAGAUGCCCUCGUUCCCAAAGCACUGCAGCUGUGUGUAACCCCAAAGGUCUCAGAGACAAAGGAGAAACAGAAAAGGGGGAGAAAGGGCUGCAGAGCCUACAGAGAUGCAGCCAGAUAGCAUCGGGUUUACAUCUAAAGUUCUACACCUGGGCAUCAACUCCACAUGCUGCAAGUAGUCUCCAGCCACAGGAAGUCAAGACACAGGAAGUGCAAAGCCAGGUCCUACACUUACCUUCCUGGUGUCUUUAGCAAGGACUGCUGUAUCUCUGUGCUCAUUUCUCCUGAACUGGUUGACCCCUACGUCCCUAAAUGAUGUUUGGAGCAGAGGCAGGCUUUCACUAUGGAGUCUUGGCUAGCCUGGAACACACAGAGAUGUAUCUUCCCCUGCUGGGAUUAAAGGCCUAGCUCACACUAGCCAGAAUUUUACAGAAGAAGAAGGAGGAGGAGGAGGAGGAGGAGGAGGAGAAGGAGGAGAAGGAGAGGAGAAAGAAGAAGAAGAAGAAGAAGAAGAAGAAGAAGAAGAAGAAGAAGAAGAAGAAGAAGGAAGAAGAAGAAAGAAGAAGAAAAGAAGAAGAAAAGAAGAAGAAGAAAACGGAAAUUUUUAUUUGGACAAAAACUUAGGCCUUGGCAGCAUGGGGGCUCAAGCCUGGAUUCCCAAUUCUCUGAAGGCUGAUGCAGGAGGAUUAAUGUGAGUUUGAUGCCUGCGUGGUAUAGUAUGAGACAGUAUAAAGAAAGACCCCCCCCCCCCCCAAAUAAAAACCACAAGGCCUUCUCCA